Long non-coding RNA from Anas platyrhynchos (mallard), 10323 nucleotides. RefSeq lists it as uncharacterized. Lineage: Eukaryota; Metazoa; Chordata; Aves; Anseriformes; Anatidae. The record is from RefSeq and is a predicted model, not a curated record.
CAAAACUGAUGUUAUUUAAACACAACUGUUCUAUGUAACUAUGCCUUCAAAGUAAUUCUAAGGAUUCUUCUUUAUGAGAAGAACUGAUGCUCAUCAGAUUAAUAUUUUGUAGAGGAACCUUUCAAGUGAAGUGGAUUUUUAUGGCUGAAAUUAGCACAAAUUAAUGGGAAUACUCAAGCUCCCUGAAAGUGGUUGUGGAACAGCCCCUAGUGCAGAAUAAGAAGGCUUGAUUGCAUUAACCAAGUAUUCCCACUUAGACUUGUUUUGCUCUGCCUAUUUUAGGACUUAAAUAUUUUUAUAUCAACCUAAAAAUAAACAUUGCUUGGUUUCUAUAAUAGAAACAAUAUAACCCAAAUAAUAAAAAAAAUGGAUUAAAAUGAAUGACUGGCAUAUCAACACUUGCACAGUUGGUUUUUCUUUUCUAAGUUCCAACUUAUCUGCUGGAGAAGAGUAUCAACUUACCCUUUUAUACAAGAUUACUUGGAGCAAUGGAAACCAUACCAGAUAUCUAAAGAAUGCGUGUCUGCAUCUCACGCUUCCUCGCUGGAAUGUACUACAGCCAGUGGACACAAGAAGCACGUUUUCUCAACCACAGAACAUAUAUUAUUGAUGGAGCCAAAUCCAGGGCUGGAUUACUCUCAGCAGUAUUUUUUACAGCUUUCCCCCCCGCCCCUUCCUUUCUUCGUUCCUUAAAUAUCUCACAUAACAAUCAUCCCUCAUUUUCUGAUGACAAUUCCACCUUUUCAAUAACUCAAAACUGUGCUUUAAAAGGCUACAGAUAGCACUUUGUCAUUUGUAUGCUUUUGAUUUGAUCCUGAUAUCAAAUCUUUGAGUAUGAGUGCUCACAACACCUCCACAGCACCCGUUUUAUACUUUAAGCAAUGAGAGAACUCAGAGAUUGUAGUUUUUGGCUGACCUUGCAAAGGUCAAAAGUCGAUCCCACCCCUCUUUUCUUUUGACAAACUGCAUUCCAAGAAGCAUAGUGAUUCGGUGAUAUUUCUACGGAAACAAUCAAGAAAUCAUAGAUUUUUUUUUUUCAUGCACAAAAACAUCUAACAUCUAAUUCCUCUGCUGUUGUCAGAAUGCUUGUCAUCCCUAUGUACAGACACCCAUUUUGUCAAAAAAAAAAUCCAUCUAUAAACACACAUGGUAUAAAUAUAUAAAAUGAACUUGAUUAAUAUCAGACAUUUACAUUUAAUUUUGCUGAUGCUCUUCCAAAUCUUUUUCCCCUCCAGAUUUACUCCUAGAACAAACAAGCUUUCAUAAGCAGAAACUCCUCUCACAUCGCAUUGAGAUGAAGGAAACACUGAAGCUUCAGUUUCUAAGGGCUGUCUGGAGCUAUUUUUCUCCUAUCUCUGUCUAUUUGGAACUUGCUUUGCAUCUUUAGAUCAAAAGGCUUGCCUAGAUCCAAAGAAAAAUCUCUCAGAAUUCCCUUCCCAGCAAGGCAUAGUGUUGCUGUGCUACCCUUUUCAAAACUGAAGCCGGCUGUGCUGACCACCUGAAGAGCACUUGCAGGUUGAUCUCUGUAUGGGGAAGCAAGCUUGAUUUCAGGAAAAAAUGCAGUGGAGAGCGAGUAGCUCACUGCAAACCCUCGUGUGGUGUCCCUCAAGUCAUUGCGCUGCCCAGUGUCCCUUGAAAAGCUGAACAGGGUCAUAGGCUAGUGUGUGUGGUCAGGACAAAGUGGGUGGCCAAAGACUAGGAACUGGAGUUCACCAUAAUAUUAUGUGCAUUAAAAGAAGCUUUAUGUGGUUUGCUUGUCAAAGGUUAGGCAGCUGUGCUUGCAUCCACACCUUCCCUAGUUACUAGUGCUUGUUUUUUCUUUCCCCUUUUUUCCCUCUCAAUGAGCUAAGACACUGUCUUACAAUAUCACUUGUCAGCUCACAGUCUUAGUAGGAUGAAUUCAAAGAUCAGCUGCCAGCAGUUUUACUUCAUGCUGGCCCACACCCAAUGAUUUAUUUUCACACCAAUCCACAGAAAUCUUUCAGCCAAGAACUUCAGGCCCAAACCUGUUGACAUGACACCUAACUGAGCUACUUCAAAGGCAAUUACACUUGUGUACAUGCUUGUGUUUACACGGUGGUUCCUACAAGGAAGUUAUGCUGCAUGAUAUCAUUCAUUGUUCUUCAAAGAAUGCGCUGCAGAAUGCAUAUCCUUUGCGCUGAAUUUCAAUGGGCUGAUUAGGAAGUGGUGAGUGAUGCAUGGCCACUGCAGCAGCCAGUGGCUGGGUAGAAUUGCGAGUUGAACGUGAAAGGUCUUGUUUGACACAGGUUGAAGCAUCAACCAGCAGCUCUCAGCAGCUCUACAUGAAUUAAAAUAAUAUACUAAGUAUAUAUAAUGAGUUUAUAUAUAUAUAUAUAUAUAUAUACACACACACAUAUAUAUAUAUAUAAUAUAUAUAUGAGUAUACAUGUAUAUAAUGAGUAGGUUCUCUCACACACACUGCAGUGAACCAAGGCCAUCUGAAAACCAAAGAACAUUUCAGUAAUAACUGUCCCUCCUUGCUUUCUCCAUGCACUUAGAGAGGCAUUUUUCAGAAAACAAACAAACAAACAGAAGAAUGUUCUUAAUUCUCAAAUUGAGGAUAUUUUCCUGACAAUACAAGAGUAAGCAGAAAAGAAUCAGUAGGAAGUGUAACACACUUACACUUGUUGAUGUGAAAGUAUACAUUCUAACACUUCAAAAACACACAAGUCCAUAGUGGUCUAGCAUCUCCUUUCGUGUGUCAUGACCAUCAUCUCAGCAUUACCUUUAUCAUGUUACCCCAAGUGUAUCCUCACUUACUUCUCUUUUUGGAGCCUUGCACAGUUCUAGUUCCCUAUGUUGAAGUUACCCAGGCCAACUCUGUCUCACACUGAUGUAGAAUCAGGGCAAGAGAAAGGAAGAGCAUCAGACAAAACAGCUCAGUCACUUCUAAAAAUGAUGCAAGGGUAAGAAGUCAUACUUUGUUUGAAAACCUUUAGAAUCUCCAGGUUGGGAGCAAAGAACUGAAAUUUGACAGAACCUGGCCCAACUUUUUUUUUUGUUUGUUUUUGUGUGAAAAUCUACCAAAACCUGUCCAAUACACAAAAAUUUGAAACAUGAGAGCUUGCAUGCAGUUAUUGGGAUCUGCCCCAUCGUCAUUACUCCAGAGACUCCAUCUGUCCUGGAACACAGCCAAGGAUUCAGCAGGGAUCUUCUGCUAUGGGAGCUCUGGGUUGCACUGGGCUCUGCAAACUCUGUCUCCUGUAUUUUCAGUUAUUCAUACAAGUGAAGUAUUUAGUCAUCAAACUGUUAUUCCUAAUAACAACACUUACAAUCCUUAUUAAGCUGUGAGUAAGUUUCAACACCUGUGGAAGCAAUGUGGUGCUCAGCUUGGCCUCAUUGAUCUUAAUCUGCACAGAAACCUGAUGAAGAGAAUUCCCAUGUGCUUGAAAGCUCCUGUUGCAUCAAAACAAGAACUACUGAAAAUGUAAGCAUAGCCCUGAAUGUUUUUGUCCAUUACUACUCAGGCAAGUAUGGGAAGAUUUACUGAGACCAUCUGGACUUAUUCUGGUUCUUAUCAAGCAGCAGAGGGUUUUUGUUUUUUUUUUUUUUUCUUUCCUUCCUUGCAAGUUCUGUUCAAGUGACUCAUCCACUAAUGUCAUUUAGCCACAGCUUUCUGUCUUUGCCAGAAUGAGUUUCCAUUGAGCAGUACACCAAUGGUGAGGGGAAAAAAAAAAGAGCUUAAUUACAUCUCCAGUUUUAUAUGCUUCGUGCAAGAAAGUGUUUUAAUAAGGGGUAUUUCAAAACUCCUUCAUUUACUUCUAAACAGUAUUUGUUCAGGCUUCAAAGGCCAGAGAGAUGACACAGGAAGGGCAGAAGGGGGUCAAGCAAAGUUACUUAAGUUAAGAAAAACUGCAUCUUAAUUAAAACCUUUUUUUUUUUUUUUUUAAAAAAAAAAAUAUUUUCUUUUGGUUGGGAAAAGGGAAAAUUCAUUAGAAAAAGGAAUGAAUGAAAUUUGAGGUUUCAUCACCUUGAUGAGGUCACACAUGAUGAGAAUCACAGGGAGAAAGGUUUGGGAUAUAAAUGCACAGGAAGGGAAAAUGAAUUAAAAAAAUGUAACCAGAAAAUGACCACUUUAGAGUCAGAAGACAGUUGCUCAGUGGAAAAUACCAAAUGCAGCAUUAACAGAAAAAUUUUCCUAUCCUCAUACACACACAGUGUCGAUAAGGCUCACCAACUUGUGUCACCAGACUUCACUGACUUUUAAAUAACCUAUUUUGUGCAAAAAUAACAGGAAAUAGAUUGAAGAUGAUCCAAAAAAUAAAAAUUAAGCAAUUUAUACCGUAUCAUACAUACAUACCAGUCCAGAAAAUGAUAGACUCAAAUAUGCUAGAAAAUCCAAUUUCCAUAACAAACGCUUACUAACGACUACCUGUAAUAGUUAUUCAUGUCAACUACCAUUAUGCAUAAAAUUGGAAAGAAAGGAAAAUUUGAAGCAAUUAAGAAACUGUUUAGAGACAGCUAAAGAAAUCAACCCACUCUUAAAAUAUAUUACCAUACGUUGACAGUCUGGUUUGUAACAAAAAUGGGUCAUUCACAUGCAGAGACAUAAUGUAGCAUUCUAAACAUACGCAUGUGCAAAACACUGAUCAUUCUCAGUGCCAAAGCAAAUGAAAGGCCUUUGAGGGACUGCCUACCAGCCUCCUGAAGGUCAAAUUGCUUACGACAUGAUCUUACUUUUCUUUUGUUCCUAGAUUUUGGUCUUACGAAUGCUUGCACCAUUAACAAUAUUCUGGAUUUUGAUUCAGUUUGUGGCAGUUGCUGUUUAUGAGAAUCAGUUAGCAAAUCUUGAUAUCUUAAAUUUUAGUAUUCUAUUGAGAAAAAUCAAGCAGAUUUCUUCUGUUCAAGAUAUGGGUAGAUGAUGCAGCCCAUUACAUACCUGACGUAUCUAGAAAAUGUUUGCACACUACAAUGGAAAAAUCAAGGUUUACCUUUAACGAGUACAUUUAAUGCAGUGACGUAUUACUGGUGCUCCAUACAGUAGAUGAAUUCUACAGUCCUUCGAAAUGUUCCCAUUGUCUCCUCCUAACCUUUUUGCAGUUUAUCCCUCUCACUUUCUAGCUUGAUUUUCUGCUAAAUAGUUAAUUUGUGACCCUUUACCAAUUCAAACUCCCCUGACUGUAGCAGGUAGCUUUUUCAAGUAGGCAUAAUGCUUAUGGAGAAUGGCAUCCAUGCAGAAUACUAGCAACAUAGACAACGGGUGGUUAUUUCUGAUAUAAGGAGUGAGUGUCUAGGUGAGCUACUUUUUCCUCAAGUUUUCUGUUGUAAUUAGAACUGGCCAGUAUAUCUGACCAUGGACUAUCUGCAGGGACCACCUGCAGUGCAGAACUUCCUGAAAUCAACACCAGAACAAGGAGGCUCCAUACAUGUGCUAAUGCCCCACGGUACUUGGGCUUUAUUUCUACACUAAUCCCUCAGUACAGCAUCACAGCCAUGAAGUUAAGAUUCCUAUUCCAAACUAAUCUCUAUUUUUAACUUGAUUUUCCCAUGGAGAUAUAUUUUCACAAAAGAAAAAAACAAAAUGCUAUAUGAUUUGUGGCUGCCCUGAAAUUGUUUUGGAGAAAAUUUGAGAUAACUAAGCCAAGAUAUUUGAGUCAGAAAGUUUGAAAAUUAACAUCUUUCUGACUGUUCAUGAAGUGGCUCAUGCACUGGUAGCACUUUAAGAGAAGCCUGCUAGUUAGUUGUUAUUUAUGAAGACUUACAAAUUACUUGUCAAUGUUUGUUUACAACCUCUAAAAGUCUACAGUUUUGUUUUUCAGGAUGUGUGGCAACACAGUAGGUUUCACUCUACUUCAUAUGUAAAAAUGAGAGCCUUGAUCUACCUUAACUUGCGUGCAGGCAGACCCAUUUGUUUUGGAGCAAAUGGAGGGGAAAUGUUGACAUGCUCGAGAAAAGCCGUAAUUCUGAACAACAGAGUGACAGUCAUAGGCUAGAGGAAUGGGUUGACUGGGCUGUAUCAACAGAAGCAUAGCCAGUAGACCAAGAGAAGUAAUUAUUCACCUUUAUGCAUCAUUUAUUAGACUACGUUUAGCCCUUCUCUGACCCUAAAGAUAGAUGUUGGAAUAUAUUUGUCUGGGAAUACUUAAUGAUAUAAAUGAUAAAUACUACAUAAAUGAUAGUGCAAAUGAUAAUCUGUGCUGCAUUAGACUUUGCCUGGUCUUGGUUAAAAUCCAACCCAUCAGCUUCUUUUUCCCCAGGCUGACCUGCACCUUUGGCCCUCUGUCCUCCAGUGACCUAGGGUCCUUGACUAUCUCCUGACUUGCUUUCUUCUGUCCAUGAUACCCAUUACUUUGUGCCACUGCCAGAGCUCUGUUCUGGUACUAUGCUAGCAUGCAUGAGAGACAUGGAUUUCUACCCCAGAAAGUUCAGGUUUUCACUGCAAGUCAAACACAGUAACAGGCCGAAUCAGGGAAUGAGGAGGUUCUACAGGAAUAGCAAAACAAUGCUCCUUAUUCUGAAAAACCGUAGUCGUAAGGACACAGCAUAUUUAUUACUGAAAUAUUCAAACAGAUGCUCACAGGAAACUGCUUUGUGAAAUUUAUUCUCACUCCUCCAUUUUUAUUCUUGGAGACCAAAAUCUAAGUGUUAAAUAUAAAGCAAAGUGAAACAAAAACCCAAACUCCUGGAGAGCUCACUGUUCAUCUCCACAAACACUGUGCUACAACUACCACAGAAAUUCAAAACAAUCCAUCUAAAUUUACUAUUUCUACACACAACACACCAUCCUCGGCAAUGACGUGGCAAAACAGCCCACUGGGACCACACCAACGCCUCUGCUGGCAGUAGACCUUGGAGAACAAUAUUGGGGAGAAGUGCUUUGCUGGUGAUCAGACUUUUGGGAACUGCAAAGUAGUCUGCACAGUAAGUCACGGUUUGGAGAGAGAAGUUUUUGCAGUUCAUGUGACAAUAAGUUCUCUUUAAAUUAAUAGGACCUGAGAGUGCUUACUUACGCUUGAGAGCCUGGAAUCCUUACUCAGCCUAGCAGCUGUUCCUAGGAAUGACUUGUUAUUCUUUAUCAGCUGCGUGAUCAAUCUGCCAGGGUCACAGCACACAUUUUUGAAUCCAAAAACACUGGCCUAGUACGCCACAGCUGGCUUGAGAAGGCUUCAUCUCUUGCUGCAACUGCAGAGAAGGAAAAUAGUCCUCAGUUUGGCUGAUGCCUAUAAAACAUUGGUUCCAGAUAACUUCCCUUGCUUGGAUAAAAAUUCACGUUUGGCUUUUAUAAAAUUUGUUUAGAAAUGCACUAAGUUUGUCAGGCAAACUCUCCAUGUAUAUAGCAGCCGAGGCCCCCCUUUGCUGGGACCCAGAUGUUAUGCAGGUGUGGACAUGCUAAAGAUGUAAUUAUAAGUACACAGAAUUCAUCUUAGGCAUUAGCAGAAAAUAAAAGCUUCAGCUAUCUGUGGAGUGAAAAAAUAUGGACAGAUAAUAUUGUUUGGUCACCAUGGUGGCCUUUGUACAGGACAGGGUGAAAUUUCUUGUUUUAUCCCAGUUUCCAUAACUCAUCUUCCUUCCCAUUUCUGACUUCUGUCUUCUCUCUCCAAACUGAGCUUUUGCAUUUUGGAGAGCUUUUUUAUUACACAUAUUAUUGCUGUUCUCUAGAGAGCGAGAGAACUGGGAUUAGAUUUGACAUGCUUAGAGAAUCCAAAAUUUAAACAUGAUUUUUAAUGACCCAUGCAUAUGUAUUCUUUUCAAAAGCGUACAAGUGUUAUGUAAAAUUAUUUAUUUAUUUAUUUUAGUUUGUUUUCCCUGCCUUUGGCUGUUUUGUAAGGAAUAUCUGUUGGGACUUUUUUGAUAAUGAACUGCUGCAGAGAGGCUAGAAUUUUUCUCUUCUAGAAACUGUUAUGCUCAGAUAAGUUUUGGAAGGAAUUUACAGAUAAGAUUUAUAUAACUAUGCUAUUGAUUUUAAAGGUAGGUAAACAAGAAACUAGAAGCUCACUUUGUCUAUCUGUGCCAGAUGUAGUAUUUUAUAUGCACAUACAUACAAGAGGAAUGUUUUUGACACAGAGGGGUUCCACAAAGAGCUACUGUAAAAGAUUUCAAUCAUUCUGUUCACUUAUUGACUCAAAAAGCCAAUAUCACUACAUCUGAACAGCCAGCAUAAAGGAAGCUAUACUAUCAUAUAAGCAGUGACACAACCUUUUCCAUAAAACUGUAAUUUAAACCUCAAUAAAUAAUGAUAAUUUAGGUGCUUCUCUUUUUAAGUUCCUGAGGAGAACCACUGCCAAGUUUCUUGAUUCUGAAUACAAAAUACAGCUGCUUUCAUUCCUGGUACUGACUCAUCUCUCAGUAGUUCCCAAGGGGAUGAGCUCAAAUACAGUGGAAUCAGGAGUUACCAGAGUAAUCGUGAAAGAGCACUGUCAGGUUACUGUACUCCAUGUACUCUCCCACAGGGAAGACUGUUUUAAUAGCUGUGAACAUGUUGGAAGCAGAUCCUUUGCAACGUUUUGUGGCACCAUCUUAAGUACAGCUCUCCUAGGAAAGCUGCACUUAAUCCCACAGGGCAGAAAUCCUAAGGCCUCGGACAAGUAUUUAUCUGAUUUAACCAAUAUGCAAUGGUUUGAACCAAGAGGUUCACAAAACAUUCCUUUCAGAUUAGGAAUCUGUUUUAAAAUGGGACCACGUAAUUUACUGGAACGUGUUCUUCCUGAAUAAGUCAGUCAACGAACCUAGUGCCCCUCAGCUCCUCCAGCGGCCUACUGUAUUCUGCGACCACAUGAACACCAGCAUUACAGUCACAGAAUCAUAGAAACACAAGGUUGGAAAGGACCUACCAGAUCAUCUAGUCCAAUGUCCUCCUAUCACCAAUACUACUCACUAAGCUACCUCGUAGCACCUCAGCCAGGCGUUUCUUGAACACCGUGAGGGAUGGUGACUCCACCACCUCCCUGGGCCGGCGGUUCCAGUGCCUGACCACUCUUUGAGAGAAAAAGUUUUCCUGAUAUCUAAACUAAAUCUCCCCAGGCACAACUUGUGGCCAGUUCCUCGAGUCCUGUUAUUAGUUACCUGAAAGAGGCUGACGCCCUCCUCAUCCCAACCUCCCUUCAGGAAGUUGUGGAGUGCAAUGAGAUUUCCCCGGAACCUCCUCUUCUCCAGACUACACACCUCCAGCUCCCCUCAGCCGCUCCUCACAGGACUUGUGUUCCAGGCCCCUCACCAGUUUUGUUGCCCUGCUCUGGACACGCUCCAGGGCCUCCAUGUCCUUCUUGUAGUGAGGGGCCCAAAGCUGAACAGCACUCGAGGUGCGGCCUCACCAGAGGCCAGGGGGAGAACCACCUCCCUGCUCCUGCUGGCUGCAGUACUUCUAAUACAGGCCAGGGUGCCAUUGGCCUUAUUGGCCACCCGAGCACACUGCUGGCUCGUUCAGCCGAGCAUCGAUCAACACUCCCAGGUCCCUUUCCUCUUCACAACCUUCUAGACACUCUGCCCCAAGUCUAUGGGGCUGCAUGGGGUUAUUGUGGACAAAGUGUGGGACCUGGCACUUGGCCUUGUUAAACCUCAUCCCACGCACCACAAUGGCUGUCAAAUAGCAGCAGUGUUCAAACAAUGACCUCACUUUCUUAUAUGAAAAUACUGGAGAAAGAAUCAAGUUCUCUUGCUUUUAGUAACAGUUAUCAGCAGUACUGGGAUGGAUGUAAAUUGUGUUUUGGGAAGAACAGAAAAACAUUCAUUAAGAAGGAAAAAUUAUGAAUAUACACAUUUCCCCCUCUAAUUUUGACUGCAUUUAAUACUUCAGAUCGUUACAUUAGUUCAGACCACAUUGCUGGGGAAUUUGCAAAAUGGACAAGUAUAGGUCCCAGAAGAAAAAGAGGCUGAUGACAUAGCAGACUGGAUAAUACUAUAGGGUAUUUUAAACCGUUUUAAGAAAAAGGAAACUGCUUUAUGUGCAGAACCUUAACAUGAGUAAGUGGCUGCUGGCAGAGGCAGAAUACCAUAAGAGGAAUGAGAAUAUAAGAAAGCAUUAUUUCACUUGCAAAUCCUUUCAGUUGCUGCUAAACACAAUGUAGAAUCCCAGGCAAGAUUAAUGUCUUACAUCAAGCACAAGACAAUCCCUAAGAUAACACCCUAAAGAACUCACAGAGUAGAUUGACGUAGCUGAGCAUCCAAAUGCAAGUGUACAGUUUCAGAUAAAAUGCUGCAAUGUCCAUGCUGCAAAAACCCACAACAGUGAACAGAGUAAUCAUUGUUUUAUCUUUUGUUUGGAGAAUACAACCCCUACGGGAACUGUGGAAUUCUAAGGUGCUUUCAAGAACCACUGGAAAACUGUGUUUAUUUUAAUAAUAAACCUACAACAUAGUUACCAAA